This is a long non-coding RNA of Rhincodon typus (whale shark), 1034 nucleotides long. RefSeq lists it as uncharacterized. The transcript is spliced from 3 exons. NCBI's taxonomy places the organism in Eukaryota, Metazoa, Chordata, Chondrichthyes, Orectolobiformes, Rhincodontidae. The record is from RefSeq and is a predicted model, not a curated record.
GGUGGGUGGUGCUCUUGUGGUUCCUGUCACUAAAUACUCAGUUUUUCAUGGCAGGAAGGGCGUCUGCUUGUCAGCAGCUGCUGAGAAAAAUAGGCCAGACUUCUCAGGAGCUGGGGCGGUGGGGCUGGGUGGGAGUCCAGCCACGAUGUCGUCACACUGGAGGGCAUGCAGAGGAAAUGCCUACUCCCUGUUCGAACAAAAUCCAUUAACCCAGCAAAGCAUACGAACAAAACGCAAACAGAUUGGGCCCCAAAUUGCUUCCCUGGCCCAGAUCGACCCCCAACAAAGUCUGCAUGUUGUCGUGGAAUUAAUCGACUAAGGUUAUCAGUGAACAAAUCAAUUUGUUUGAAGUGGCCUGCUCAAGCAGUAAAGUGCAUCUGCCACCUACUUGAGGAAGUUCAUCCAGCAUUGCUUUCUGAAAUAAAAUGCAGAAAGUGCUGGAGAAAUUCAGCAGGUCCACCAGCACCUGUAGAGUGAGAAACAACAGUUAAAGUUUCAACUUCAAUAUGACUUCUUCAGAACUCUCCACAACUUUGGGUCUACCACAGCAAAUGGACUGCAGAGAUUCAAGAAGAUAGCUCACUACCACCUUCUCAAGGACAUCAAGUGAUCUCAGUCAGUGGGACAGUAAAGAUUGCAUUGACCUCAGCCUUCCUGUGUUAUGACUGCAGCAAUACAGAAGCAAUGUCCAACAUCUCUUCACCCUUGGCCGGAGGAUUGUCAAUGGUAGGAGAAUAUGAAUGGCCAAUUUGUCGACUCUCAGCGCAAUGUUGCAGAACAAUGGAAUGGAAACAAUGGAGAAAAUACGUCUAGUAUUCAAAAGUUCUUCCAAGUAUUUCAGUUGAAAUCUUUUCUGGACUCUGCCAAAUUGCAAUUAAAAACAGAAAACGCUCAGCAGAAUCUGGGAACUUCUGUGGAGAGAGAAAUGGAGCUAAUAUGUCAUGCUAAUGUUGCUGCAUCAAAAUGUAAACUGCACUGGCACAUUGCAAGAUUUCAUCUCUUAUUUCCCAGAAGAUAAAAGUUACAAAUGGAAA